Molecule: small nuclear RNA, 305 nt
Filed under: Castor canadensis (American beaver)
Lineage: Eukaryota; Metazoa; Chordata; Mammalia; Rodentia; Castoridae
Description: 7SK RNA (ENSCCNG00000019102.1)
Rfam family: 7SK RNA
About the family: 7SK was discovered as an abundant small nuclear RNA in the mid-70s but a possible function has only recently been suggested.
Source: RNAcentral
GGAUGUGAGGGCAAUAUGGCUGCGACAUCUGUCACCCCAUUGAUUGCCAGGGUUGAUUCGGCUGAUCUGGUUGGCUAGGCGGGUGUUCCCUUCCUCCCUUACCACUCCAUGUGCGUCCCUCCUGAAGCUGCGUGCUCGGUCGAAGAGGACGACCAUCCCCAAUAGAGGAGGACCAUUCUUCAGUCAAGGGUAUACCAGUAGCUGCACUCCCCUGCUAGAACCUCCAAACAAGCUCUCAAGAGUGUGGCAAAUUCAAUACCUUAUAUCUUUCUCCUGUUCAACAUUUAUGAAUUAUACAUUGAGUU